GUAGAAACAGAACUCGGAACCCUGGGGUCACUGGGCACCACAGUCCAGCGACAGCUGCCUAACAGCCACUUGGCUGGAGAGAGUCAGCAGUGAUCAUGCUGUGCUGCUUUCCCAGACCUCGAGGCCGCAGCAGCAGGACCCUGCACAGGGAAAGCACUUGGGCGUGAGUGAGAGGAUGGAUGGCUAAGUCCCCAUGCUUCAGGCCACUCACCAAGAACUGCCUGGCCUUCAGGGGCAGCACAGGGUGGGUCUCACCAGACCCAGAGACCUGGGGACCUGAGAUGAGCGGGAGCCCAGGGCAGAUCUCCCUGGACCUGGACACCAGACACUCGGGGCCACCGAGUCCAGGACAGGUCCAGUCAGGCCCGGCCACCAUUGCCCUCCACUUCUUGGUGGAGCUACACUUCCAGGUGAAUCCACCAGCUGAACUCCUGGCCCAACUGGAGCAAGCUUAGCCCACUGAGGCACAGCCCACGGGACCAGCUCGAGCCCCAGCUGAAGUCCCAUGUGUGGAGCCCGAGCCAGCUCCACCUACAGCUUCCUGCCCAGCGCUGGGACCACAGCCAGAGUCUGUGGAAGCCUCUUCACCUGCUGCAGUGCUGGGGCACCAGGUGGUUGCACGGUGGUGGGUGUCACCUCCUGAGCUCUGCCUGGGGCCAGCUCCUGGCUCCUUCCCACUGUUCCCCUCACUCACGCUGGCUCUUGGUUUGGUAUUUACACUUGCCCUUAUUCCUUGGAUUUAUAUAAAUAAUAGAACUAGCUUUUAAUAAAACUUAAACUUUUAGUGUUUAAAAGGG
RNAcentral lists this long non-coding RNA (797 nucleotides) under Heterocephalus glaber (naked mole-rat). RNAcentral's name for it is "lncRNA (ENSHGLG00000027964.2)". The record is from RNAcentral. Lineage: Eukaryota; Metazoa; Chordata; Mammalia; Rodentia; Bathyergidae.